GUUUCUGGUAUUUGUGAUGCAGGUCUUUGGAGACGGACCAUCAUGUGUUAUAUAGUAUAUCUUUAAGAGGUUAGCUUGAGACCUUGUUUGUCAAAAGCAUGUUUUAUGACCUUAAAGAGUAGUGAUCUCAAGGUUACCUUGAAAGGGUUGCUUGCACUAAUACUUUCCAGAGGUUGCUGGUGGAAUUACGGUUUCCAAUAGAGUGCAUGCUACAGGCUGCGCGACAACCUUGUCAUGAAGGGCCAACGUCUGCGGUCGUUGCGCCGCCAGCCUCGAAAGCAGCCGUAUCACCGUGGCUUGCGUAUGAAGCUUUGAUAUGAGCUUUUUAAUAAGAGCUUUCUUGCUGCUUGCUGUGUUAGAAGGCGGCUAUGCUCACGCAUGGAGUGUGUCAUGUUCACCUCUCACGAGUUUGAUGUACGCGUUGUUGCGCGUGCGGGGAGCUUCACAGCCUACAGUGACGGAGCCAACU
Long non-coding RNA from Leguminivora glycinivorella, 469 nucleotides. RefSeq lists it as uncharacterized. The transcript is spliced from 2 exons. Lineage: Eukaryota; Metazoa; Arthropoda; Insecta; Lepidoptera; Tortricidae. The record is from RefSeq and is a predicted model, not a curated record.